GUGGGGAAUAUUGGACAAUGGGGGGAACCCUGAUCCAGCCAUGCCGCGUGUGUGAAGAAGGCCUUUUGGUUGUAAAGCACUUUAAGCGAGGAGGAGGCUACCGAGAUUAAUACUCUUGGAUAGUGGACGUUACUCGCAGAAUAAGCACCGGCUAACUCUGUGCCAGCAGCCGCGGUAAUACAGAGGGUGCAAGCGUUAAUCGGAUUUACUGGGCGUAAAGCGCGAGUAGGUGGCCAAUUAAGUCAAAUGUGAAAUCCCCGAGCUUAACUUGGGAAUUGCAUUCGAUACUGGUUGGCUAGAGUAUGGGAGAGGAUGGUAGAAUUCCAGGUGUAGCGGUGAAAUGCGUAGAGAUCUGGAGGAAUACCGAUGGCGAAGGCAGCCAUCUGGCCUAAUACUGACACUGAGGUGCGAAAGCAUGGGGAGCAAACAGGAUUAGAUACCCGGGUAGUCC
Molecule: ribosomal RNA, 451 nt
Filed under: uncultured bacterium
Lineage: Bacteria
Description: partial 16S ribosomal RNA
Rfam family: Bacterial small subunit ribosomal RNA
Source: RNAcentral